RNAcentral lists this ribosomal RNA (841 nucleotides) under Pseudomonas thivervalensis. RNAcentral's name for it is "bacterial SSU rRNA". It matches the Rfam family "Bacterial small subunit ribosomal RNA", at positions 61 to 896 of the family's 1533-position model. The record is from RNAcentral. Lineage: Bacteria; Pseudomonadati; Pseudomonadota; Gammaproteobacteria; Pseudomonadales; Pseudomonadaceae.
GUCGAGCGGUAGAGAGGUGCUUGCACCUCUUGAGAGCGGCGGACGGGUGAGUAAUGCCUAGGAAUCUGCCUGGUAGUGGGGGAUAACGCUCGGAAACGGACGCUAAUACCGCAUACGUCCUACGGGAGAAAGCAGGGGACCUUCGGGCCUUGCGCUAUCAGAUGAGCCUAGGUCGGAUUAGCUAGUUGGUGAGGUAAUGGCUCACCAAGGCGACGAUCCGUAACUGGUCUGAGAGGAUGAUCAGUCACACUGGAACUGAGACACGGUCCAGACUCCUACGGGAGGCAGCAGUGGGGAAUAUUGGACAAUGGGCGAAAGCCUGAUCCAGCCAUGCCGCGUGUGUGAAGAAGGUCUUCGGAUUGUAAAGCACUUUAAGUUGGGAGGAAGGGCAUUAACCUAAUACGUUAGUGUUUUGACGUUACCGACAGAAUAAGCACCGGCUAACUCUGUGCCAGCAGCCGCGGUAAUACAGAGGGUGCAAGCGUUAAUCGGAAUUACUGGGCGUAAAGCGCGCGUAGGUGGUUCGUUAAGUUGGAUGUGAAAUCCCCGGGCUCAACCUGGGAACUGCAUUCAAAACUGUCGAGCUAGAGUAUGGUAGAGGGUGGUGGAAUUUCCUGUGUAGCGGUGAAAUGCGUAGAUAUAGGAAGGAACACCAGUGGCGAAGGCGACCACCUGGACUGAUACUGACACUGAGGUGCGAAAGCGUGGGGAGCAAACAGGAUUAGAUACCCUGGUAGUCCACGCCGUAAACGAUGUCAACUAGCCGUUGGGAGCCUUGAGCUCUUAGUGGCGCAGCUAACGCAUUAAGUUGACCGCCUGGGGAGUACGGGCCGCAAGGGUU